RNAcentral lists this ribosomal RNA (254 nucleotides) under uncultured bacterium. Its description in RNAcentral is "partial 16S ribosomal RNA". It matches the Rfam family "Bacterial small subunit ribosomal RNA", at positions 524 to 776 of the family's 1533-position model. The record is from RNAcentral.
UACGUAGGGGGCGAGCGUUGUCCGGAAUCAUUGGGCGUAAAGAGCUCGUAGGCGGUUCAGUAAGUCGGCUGUGAAAUUCCGAGGCUCAACCUCGGAACUGCAGUCGAUACUAUUGUGACCAGAGUCCGGUAGAGGAGAAUGGAAUUCCCGGUGUAGCGGUGAAAUGCGCAGAUAUCGGGAGGAACACCAGUAGCGAAGGCGGUUCUCUGGGCCGGUACUGACGCUGAGGAGCGAAAGCGUGGGGAGCAAACAGG